Molecule: unclassified non-coding RNA, 247 nt
Filed under: Ceratobasidiaceae sp.
Lineage: Eukaryota; Fungi; Basidiomycota; Agaricomycetes; Cantharellales; Ceratobasidiaceae
Description: partial contains small subunit ribosomal RNA, internal transcribed spacer 1, and 5.8S ribosomal RNA
Rfam family: Eukaryotic small subunit ribosomal RNA (bases 1-46)
Source: RNAcentral
AAGUCGUAACAAGGUUUCCGUAGGUGAACCUGCGGAAGGAUCAUUAUUGAAUGAAUGUAGAGUUGGUUGUGCUGGCCCCUUGGGGCAUGUGCACGCCUUCUCUUUCAUCCACACACACCUGUGCACUUGUGAGACGGAAGCCUUUCGGGGAGUCCGUCUGCUCCACAUAAACUCAUAUAUUUAAAACGAAUGUAAUUGAUGUAACACAUCUUUAAACUAAGUUUCAACAACGGAUCUCUUGGCUCUC